UACGAAGGGGGCUAGCGUUGCUCGGAAUGACUGGGCGUAAAGGGCGCGUAGGCGGUUUGUACAGUCAGGUGUGAAAUUCCCGGGCUCAACCUGGGGGCGGCACUUGAGACGUAGGAACUGGAGUGAGGAAGAGGGUCGUGGAAUUCCCAGUGUAGAGGUGAAAUUCGUAGAUAUCUGGAGGAACACCGGUGGCGAAAGCGGCUCACUGGAUCGAAACUGACGCUGAGGUGCGAAAGCUAGGGUAGCAAACGGG
This 253-nucleotide ribosomal RNA is filed under the name uncultured bacterium. RNAcentral's name for it is "partial 16S ribosomal RNA". It matches the Rfam family "Bacterial small subunit ribosomal RNA", at positions 524 to 776 of the family's 1533-position model. The record is from RNAcentral.